Molecule: ribosomal RNA, 730 nt
Filed under: uncultured marine bacterium
Lineage: Bacteria
Description: bacterial SSU rRNA
Rfam family: Bacterial small subunit ribosomal RNA
Source: RNAcentral
GGCAGACGGGUGAGUAACAUGUAGGUAUCUUCCCUUUGGCCUGGAAUAACACGAGGAAACUUGUGCUAAUACUGGAUAAGUCUUUACGGAGAAAGCUUUAUGCACCAUUGGAUGAGCCUGCACUUGAUUAGUUUGUUGGUGGGGUAAUGGCCUACCAAGACUGUGAUCAAUAGCUGGUAUGAGAGGAUGAUCAGCCACAUUGGGACUGAGACACGGCCCAAACUCCUACGGGAGGCAGCAGUGGGGAAUCUUGCACAAUGGAGGAAACCCUGAUGCAGCGAUGCCGCGUGAGUGAAGAAGGCCCUUGGGUUGUAAAGCUCUUUCGUCGGGGAAGAAAAUGACUGUACCCGAAUAAGAAGGUCCGGCUAACUUCGUGCCAGCAGCCGCGGUAAUACGAAGGGACCUAGCGUAGUUCGGAAUUACUGGGCUUAAAGAGUUCGUAGGUGGUUGAAAAAGUUGGUGGUGAAAUCCCAGAGCUUAACUCUGGAACUGCCAUCAAAACUUUUCAGCUAGAGUUUGAUAGAGGAAAGCAGAAUUUCUAGUGUAGAGGUGAAAUUCGUAGAUAUUAGAAAGAAUACCAAUUGCGAAGGCAGCUUUCUGGAUCAUUACUGACACUGAGGAACGAAAGCAUGGGUAGCGAAGAGGAUUAGAUACCCUCGUAGUCCAUGCCGUAAACGAUGUGUGUUAGACGUUGGAAAUUUAUUUUCAGUGUCGCAGCGAAAGCGAUAAA